RNAcentral lists this ribosomal RNA (815 nucleotides) under Bacillus altitudinis. RNAcentral's name for it is "bacterial SSU rRNA". It matches the Rfam family "Bacterial small subunit ribosomal RNA", at positions 49 to 847 of the family's 1533-position model. Lineage: Bacteria; Bacillati; Bacillota; Bacilli; Caryophanales; Bacillaceae. The record is from RNAcentral.
CUAUACUGCAAGUCGAGCGGACAGAAGGGAGCUUGCUCCCGGAUGUUAGCGGCGGACGGGUGAGUAACACGUGGGUAACCUGCCUGUAAGACUGGGAUAACUCCGGGAAACCGGAGCUAAUACCGGAUAGUUCCUUGAACCGCAUGGUUCAAGGAUGAAAGACGGUUUCGGCUGUCACUUACAGAUGGACCCGCGGCGCAUUAGCUAGUUGGUGAGGUAACGGCUCACCAAGGCGACGAUGCGUAGCCGACCUGAGAGGGUGAUCGGCCACACUGGGACUGAGACACGGCCCAGACUCCUACGGGAGGCAGCAGUAGGGAAUCUUCCGCAAUGGACGAAAGUCUGACGGAGCAACGCCGCGUGAGUGAUGAAGGUUUUCGGAUCGUAAAGCUCUGUUGUUAGGGAAGAACAAGUGCAAGAGUAACUGCUUGCACCUUGACGGUACCUAACCAGAAAGCCACGGCUAACUACGUGCCAGCAGCCGCGGUAAUACGUAGGUGGCAAGCGUUGUCCGGAAUUAUUGGGCGUAAAGGGCUCGCAGGCGGUUUCUUAAGUCUGAUGUGAAAGCCCCCGGCUCAACCGGGGAGGGUCAUUGGAAACUGGGAAACUUGAGUGCAGAAGAGGAGAGUGGAAUUCCACGUGUAGCGGUGAAAUGCGUAGAGAUGUGGAGGAACACCAGUGGCGAAGGCGACUCUCUGGUCUGUAACUGACGCUGAGGAGCGAAAGCGUGGGGAGCGAACAGGAUUAGAUACCCUGGUAGCCCACGCCGUAAACGAUGAGUGCUAAGUGUUAGGGGGUUCCCCCCCCUUAUNGCU